CAUGGCUCAGGAAUGAACGCUAGCUACAGGCUUAACACAUGCAAGUCGAGGGGCAGCAUGUGGUUGCUUGCAACCAAUGAUGGCGACCGGCGCACGGGUGAGUAACGCGUAUCCAACCUUCCCCUUAGUAGAGGAUAGCCCGGCGAAAGUCGGAUUAAUACUCUAUGUUCUUCAAUGCGGACAUCUAAGUUGAAGCAAAGAUUUAUCGCUAAGGGAUGGGGAUGCGUCUGAUUAGGUUGCAGGCGGGGUAACGGCCCACCUGGCCUACGAUCAGUAGGGGUUCUGAGAGGAAGGUCCCCCACACUGGUACUGAGACACGGACCAGACUCCUACGGGAGGCAGCAGUGAGGAAUAUUGGUCAAUGGGCGCGAGCCUGAACCAGCCAAGUAGCGUGCCAGGACGACUGCCCUAUGGGUUGUAAACUGCUUUUAUCAGGGAAUAAAGUGAGGCACGCGUGCCUUUUUGUAUGUACCUGAUGAAUAAGGACCGGCUAAUUCCGUGCCAGCCGCCGC
RNAcentral lists this ribosomal RNA (512 nucleotides) under uncultured bacterium. Its description in RNAcentral is "bacterial SSU rRNA". It matches the Rfam family "Bacterial small subunit ribosomal RNA", at positions 18 to 518 of the family's 1533-position model. The record is from RNAcentral.